GAUGAACGCUGGCGGCGUGCCUAAUACAUGCGAGUCGAGCGGACGGACGAGAAGCUUGCUUCUCUGAUGUUAGCGGCGGACGGGUGAGUAACACGUGGAUAACCUACCUAUAAGACUGGGAUAACUUCGGGAAACCGUAGAUAAUACCGGAUAAUAUUUUGAACCGCAUGGUUCAAAAGUGAAAGACGGUCUUGCUGUCACUUAUAGAUGGAUCCGCGCUGCAUUAGCUAGUUGGUAAGGUAACGGCUUACCAAGGCAACGAUGCAUAGCCGACCUGAGAGGGUGAUCAGCCACACUGGAACUGAGACACGGUCCAGACUCCUACGGGAGGCAGCAGUAGGGAAUCUUCCGCAAUGGGCGAAAGCCUGACGGAGCAACGCCGCGUGAGUGAUGAAGGUCUUCGGAUCGUAAAACUCUGUUAUUAGGGAAGAACAUAUGUGUAAGUAACUGUGCACAUCUUGACGUUACCUAAUCAGAAAGCCACGGCUAACUACGUG
Molecule: ribosomal RNA, 497 nt
Filed under: uncultured bacterium
Lineage: Bacteria
Description: partial 16S ribosomal RNA
Rfam family: Bacterial small subunit ribosomal RNA
Source: RNAcentral